UACAGAGGUGGCAAGCGUUGUUCGGAAUUACUGGGCGUAAAGGGCGCGUAGGCGGUUUUGUAAGUCCCGCGUGAAAUCCCCCGGCUCAACUGGGGAACUGCGCGGGAAACUGCGAGGCUUGAGUUCGGGAGAGGGAAGCGGAAUUCCGGGUGUAGCGGUGAAAUGCGUAGAGAUGUGGAGGAACACCAAUGGCGAAGGCAGCCUUCUGGGCCAACACUGACGCUCAUGCACGAAAGCGUGGGGAGCAAACAGG
Molecule: ribosomal RNA, 253 nt
Filed under: uncultured bacterium
Lineage: Bacteria
Description: partial 16S ribosomal RNA
Rfam family: Bacterial small subunit ribosomal RNA
Source: RNAcentral